Molecule: ribosomal RNA, 117 nt
Filed under: Oncorhynchus kisutch (coho salmon)
Lineage: Eukaryota; Metazoa; Chordata; Actinopteri; Salmoniformes; Salmonidae
Source: RNAcentral
GCUACGACCACACCGGCCUGAGUACGCCUGAUCUCGUCUGAUCUCGGAAGCUAAGCAGGGUCGGGCCUGUUAGUACUUGGAUGGGCGACCGCCUGGGAAUACCAGGUGCUGUAAGCU